This is a long non-coding RNA of Paramisgurnus dabryanus, 524 nucleotides long. RefSeq lists it as uncharacterized. The record is from RefSeq and is a predicted model, not a curated record. Lineage: Eukaryota; Metazoa; Chordata; Actinopteri; Cypriniformes; Cobitidae.
ACUGUCUGUGGACCUCAAACAUGACACUGGCUUUUUUAAAGCAGACUCCAGAUCAGUUUCUCCUUUCCUGGUGAGUUUGAAGGAAGUGUGGUUUGGCUUUGGUCAGACUGCAGGUCAUAUCUGCCGCUGCGUACAUGCCUGUUUGCACAAGCUGCUUGUUCUCCGGCUUCUCUCUCUUACGUAACCCUCUAAAGGAGGCCAAGCAUCCAUCAAAGGCAGAAAUGGGAGAAGAUAAAGAAAGGAGAGAUGUGGGAAGGUACUUGUCACAGCAGAGCAGAAGCAUGCUUUAUAUACGACUCCUAAAAGUCCGCCAUUGUCCCCAUUGGCAUGGAACACUGGGCAGGAACAAUGAACGGUGUGUUUACUGUCAAGAUGAAUCUUUAUGGUCAAGACCAUCCCAUUACUCAGAGAGAGAGAGAAUUAAUCAGGACAGAACUGAGAUCGAAAAGCUUGCAGGAAUCUGAAGGUUGCUCUUCACAUGAAUGCACUGGCAUCCACGUUGAAUGGCUCGGAGCAUUCGGAGG